AGCAGCCGCGGUAAUUCCAGCUCCAAUAGCGUAUAUUAAAGUUGUUGCAGUUAAAAAGCUCGUAGUUGAAUUUCGGGGUCAGUAGGUUGGUCGUGCCACUGGUAUGCACUGGCCUCACUGAUUCCUCCCUCUUGUAGAACCGUAAUGCCAUUAAGUUGGUGUUGCGGGGAAACAGGACUGUUACUUUGAAAAAAUUAGAGUGUUUAAAGCAGGCUAACGCUUGAAUACAUUAGCAUGGAAUAAUGAAAUAGGACGAUCGAUCCUAUUUUGUUGGUUUCUAGGAUUGACGUAAUGAUUAAUAGGGAUAGUUGGGGGCAUUAGUAUUCAAUUGUCAGAGGUGAAAUUCUUGGAUUUAUUGAAGGCUAACUACUGCGAAAGCAUUUGCCAAGGAUGUUUUCAUUAAUCAAGAACGAAAGUUAGGGGAUCGAAGACGAUCAGAUACCGUCGUAG
Molecule: ribosomal RNA, 450 nt
Filed under: uncultured Glomeromycotina
Lineage: Eukaryota; Fungi; Glomeromycota
Description: SSU rRNA
Rfam family: Eukaryotic small subunit ribosomal RNA
Source: RNAcentral